ACAAAAAACCUCGGGGUGUCUGGUAUAAAU
Molecule: non-coding RNA, 30 nt
Filed under: Mus musculus (house mouse)
Lineage: Eukaryota; Metazoa; Chordata; Mammalia; Rodentia; Muridae
Source: RNAcentral